Long non-coding RNA from Triticum aestivum (bread wheat), 1329 nucleotides. RefSeq lists it as uncharacterized. NCBI's taxonomy places the organism in Eukaryota, Viridiplantae, Streptophyta, Magnoliopsida, Poales, Poaceae. The transcript has 2 exons. The record is from RefSeq and is a predicted model, not a curated record.
AUCCUCCACCCCCGGCGCCAGCCCACAUCUAGCCUCCUCCCCUGGCGCCGCCCCCCUCCAGCCUUCUUCCCCUGGCGCCGCCCCCUCCCCACCUCCCCUCCAGCCUCCUCCCCAGCCACGGCGCGGCUCCCCUCCGCCACCCACGGCGUCGUGCGCAGGCGGCGAUGCCACCUCCAAGCCAGCCUCCCCUGACCUGCCGCUAGAUGGGAUCUUGUUUGCCCGCCGCGUCCGACAAGCCGACAGUCGCCGCUACCCCGGUUCUGCAGGGGAUAUGCACCGGCCUCCCCAACCUCCUUCAUCCAUGGAUCCGGCCUGCAUUUCGCGGCCGCCACAACCGGCCCCGCUGCUGCUACCCUCGGCGUCCAGCGGCGGCGUCCACAGGCUAUCCCCUCCGACAAACAGCGUGAGCUCCCCCUUCCUCCUAUCUGGCCUGGCCAUCAACCUCCUGCUGUUCGUCGAGUCCGGAUCCGUUGCGACCUCCCCCCGCACUGGAAUCGGGCUGACCUGCUCCCCGUGGAUCCGCCACCUCCCCCCAUGAUCUGGGCACAGCAGCGCCCCGGUGCAGCUCCUCCUCAACUAACCCCACGCCGGCGGCAAGUCGUGGGCCGUGUGCCCCUGCUCACAUGCUUCAGCGUGGAUUUCCGGGGUAGGAGCACGGGGCUUGGUGCGCUCGUCCACCCCCGACAACAUCAGGAGGCCACCUCGUGCAGCAACGUGGCCAAGGCGUAGACCUGGGGCUCGUUCCCCUCCUCUUCGGUAAUGUGUGGCUCUCCACAGUGCAUCACCUCGGCAAAGGUCCUCCCGGCGAGAUCCAGCUGGCCUUGCAGUUCGUCUGUCCUUGGCUGUGGCUGGGCUUCCUAUCCACUGCACUUCGCUUGGUUCGACCGCAAAGACGAGCUCCUCUUUGCCGAGGAGCAAAAUUCUUCAUCGUCCAGCUAAGGAUGCAGUCCAUCGGGGCGAUGUGCUGUCCACGACGAGCCCCAAUGCAGUGCAGAAAUGAAGAAACAUCAAAAAAGACAAACAAAAAUUGUACUGCGCUCCUGGGUGAUCAGUGCGGUGCCCCUGAUGCAGUUUGGCAGCUCACUAUAGCAGUACAUAACGGCAGUAUCAUGUUUGAGAAAAGUUAUUUUAUGGAUGAGCAUCUGUCGUGCGGUUCCAGUGCAGAUGAGGUUCUAUCGCGAUCCACUGUUUUCUUGCUUGCAGGGCAGGGGGUCGCCUCGGAAAAGAAAAAAAGUAGAAUUUUGUAGCAGCUCAUUAACCCUUUGUAUGAAGUGCAUUUUCUUUCGUGUGUCUUAAAAUUCAGUCGACUACGUAAACCCUUGCAGUGCA